CCCGACUGCUAUCGGGGUGAGGCUAAGCCAUGGGAGUCGCGCGCCCCGCCGCCGCGGGGCGCGGCGCACGGCUGAGUAACACGUGGCUAACCUGCCCUCGGGACGGGGAUAACCCCGGGAAACUGGGGCUAAUCCUCGAUAGGCGAGGGGGCCUGGAAGGGUCCCUCGCCGAAAGGGACCUCAGGGGGUUAUCGCCUGGGGUCCGCCCGAGGAUGGGGCCACGGCCCAUCAUGGUAGUUGGCGGGGUAAUGGCCCGCCAAGCCGACGACGGGUAGGGGCCGUGGGAGCGGGAGCCCCCAGAUGGGCCCUGAGACAAGGGCCCAGGCCCUACGGGGCGCACCAGGCGCGAAACCUCCGCAAUGCGGGAAACCGUGACGGGGUCACCCCGAGUGCCCCCGUAAGGGGGCUUUUCCCCGCUGCAAGGAGGCGGGGGAAUAAGCGGGGGGCAAGUCUGGUGUCAGCCGCCGCGGUAAUACCAGCCCCGCGAGUGGUCGGGACUCUUGCUGGGCCUAAAGCGCCCGUAGCCGGCCCGGUAAGUCCCUCCUUAAAGCCCCGGGCUCAACCCGGGGAGCGGGGGGAUACUGCCGGGCUAGGGGGCGGGAGAGGCCGGGGGUACCCCAGGGGUAGGGGCGAAAUCCGAUAAUCCCUGGGGGACCACCAGUGGCGAAGGCGCCCGGCUGGAACGCGCCCGACGGUGAGGGGCGAAAGCCGGGGGAGCGAACCGGAUUAGAUACCCGGGUAGUCCCGGCUGUAAACUAUGCGGGCCAGGUGUCGGGCGGGCGUUAGAGCCCGCCCGGUGCCGCAGGGAAGCCGUUAAGCAUUCCGGUUGAUCCUGCCGGAA
Molecule: ribosomal RNA, 841 nt
Filed under: uncultured archaeon
Lineage: Archaea
Description: bacterial SSU rRNA
Rfam family: Archaeal small subunit ribosomal RNA
Source: RNAcentral